CAAGGCAGGGUUCGAGGUUCUGGAGUGUUCAUGAGAUCCUCUUUUGGUCUUCACCUUUCACUCCACGGAAUCAAAAGCAAGUGCUGAGUUCCGUGUUCCUAUUCACAAAAACAUGUAGAGCACCAAAGCCAACUUGCCAUCAAAGUUUAAUAAUAUAUUUUAUAUAUAUUAUACCAUUUGCUUAACAGUAGUAUUAAUAUUGCUGUUGUGGUGUGUGAUUUUGGUGUCUCUUUUUUAAUGUUAUGGUUGUACGGAGUUCGUGUGUUAGUUCAAUUCGUCGACAAGAAACCUUGGUUUGAUAAUUGAUUGGUUCUGUGGAGAGUUUUCCUUUGGUGUGGUUGGUUUGUUGGUGGUGGUGAGAAUAGCAAUGGCUAAUGAAGGAAACAAAAGCAAUGACUUCUAUACGAUCUUGGGGUUGAACAAGGAGUGCACUGAAUUGGAGCUAAAGAAUGCAUAUAAGAAACUUGCAAAGAAAUGGCACCCGGAUCGUUGUUCUGCAUCUGGGAAUUCAGAGUUAGUGGAACAAGCUAAGAAGAAAUUCCAGGAAAUUGGGGAAGCCUAUUCUGUUUUAUCUGACGCCAACAAAAGGCUAAUGUACGACGUUGGUGUCUACGAUAGUGAUGACGACGAAAACGGCAUGGGGGACUUUUUGGACGAAAUGUUAACAAUGAUGAGUCAGACCAAAUCAAAUGAAAAUGGAGAGGAGAGCUUUGAGGAGUUGCAACAGUUGUUUGAAGACAUGUUUCAAGCAGAUAUCGGAUUGGAUGGAAGCCCUUCUCUUUCUUCUGCAGAUUGCUCUAAUUCAUCUGCUUACAUGACAUACAGUGAAAGUUCUAGUUCAAAUAAACGCAAUUCCACUGAGAUGAAAUUUGGGAAGGCAGAGGAUUCCUCUGUCUUUGAUACCAGUUACCAGAAUUUCUGUUUUGGGGUGAACCUACUCCAAGAUAUAGAGGAAGGAAAGGAGAGAAUUCCAGAAGGAGGAGGUAGCAAAAGAUGUAGAAAUGGCAGAAAGCAAAAAAUGUCCUAUGAACAUGAUGUUUUAAUCUGAUGAUAGCUAGCAAGGAAUUUGCAGAGUAAUGAAGUUGUAGAAUUCAAAAUUUAUGAGAGAAAAGGAUUAAGGAAGAGCAUAGUUUAUACAGAAAUAGUUCAAGAACUAGGCCAUUGUGACUUCCUGCCAUGCCAUAUCCAAAGACCAUGCCUAAAGUAGACAGGGAAAAGAAAGGAUAAGGAGGGUAACACUAACACAACACAACAGAAACUUAUUCACUGUGAUAUUUGACCAAUUGUCCAAUUCACAAAUGUAGAAUGCAACAUUCUGCCUUAAAAGAUAUUUUGAUCACAUCACGAAAACAUGUGGAACUAAUGAAAAGAUGAAAUCAAGCAAAGGACAAUGGCAGGUGGUGGAAAUUAAUUCUAGAAAUGGAUUGGUCCUACAGCACGUGGAGAGAGACCCCACAUGCUAUGGAACUUAAAUUCUUAAUUAAAAAAUAAAGCAGAUUCAGAUACACACUUCUAGUUCACUUUUGGGUUUGAAAGCAUUUUCGGAGCAAGAGCUUGCAAGUAGCCAAAUAUUUUAAUUGCCAGAACUAUAAUUUGUGGGUCCUUGAGGCAGAAUAAUUGGUUGGCUUUUGUUGCACAAGUUGUUCUGUAAGUUGUGCUUUUAAUGAGUAAUGAUAUUAUGAUAUAAUUUUAUAUUCAUUUGAUACUA
RNA transcript from Vigna radiata var. radiata (mung bean), 1708 nucleotides. It is a transcript of the gene named chaperone protein DnaJ, with no coding region annotated. The record is from RefSeq and is a predicted model, not a curated record. Lineage: Eukaryota; Viridiplantae; Streptophyta; Magnoliopsida; Fabales; Fabaceae. The transcript has 7 exons.